RNAcentral lists this ribosomal RNA (171 nucleotides) under uncultured bacterium. RNAcentral describes it as "partial 16S ribosomal RNA". It matches the Rfam family "Bacterial small subunit ribosomal RNA", at positions 338 to 524 of the family's 1533-position model. The record is from RNAcentral.
CCUACGGGAGGCAGCAGCCGCGGUAAUAUUGGACAAUGGGCGCAAGCCUGAUCCAGCAAUGCCGCGUGAGUGAGGAAGGCCUUAGGGUUGUAAAGCUCUUUCGGCGGGGACGAUGAUGACGGUACCCGCAGAAGAAGCCCCGGCUAACUUCGUGCCAGCAGCCGCGGUAAU